This is a non-coding RNA of Paramuricea clavata, 673 nucleotides long. The record is from the annotation of a GenBank genome assembly. Lineage: Eukaryota; Metazoa; Cnidaria; Anthozoa; Malacalcyonacea; Plexauridae.
GGCCAAAUCGUCAUUAGUGCACCGUUUAGAAAACAAAGAAAAAAAAAGGCCAAGAGGCAAGACAAAGAAAACAAAGGCCUAGUGUGACGGUGUUUGGCCUAAUUGUUCAGCAAACCUACCAACCCUGAUCUUGUACAGGGUGUCCCCCAAAAAAGUGACACUAUAGAAAUUAUUCUAUUGUUGUUCAGCACAGGAUUUCAUGCGCCUGGUAAUUAAAAAUUCAAUUCAAUUGUUUUUACGCACUCAUGUGUUCAGCAUAGUGCUCAGGCAUUCAAAUGGCCGUAACACAAAAAUCGGAUAAUUUUUAUAGUGUCACUUUUUUGGGGACACCCUGUAGAUGGAAAUGAUCGAGUACAAUGUUUUAAAUUGCUUCAAAAACGAUCGAUCUAGUAAGUUCAUUGGCGAAGUACUGACUUUCAAAAAAUGCGUUGUGUAAGUCGAGAAAAUUAAAGUUUAUGCAAAUCAAGGGAAAUCUCUAUCACAUGCAUAUAAAGAUACGACACGCUUAUGAUUUUUCUCUGUGUUUCCUCAUGAAUUAUUAACGAUUUUUGAAUACUGUUUAUUAAUCACGCGUUUGAUUUCAGACCAAAUUGUACUCCACUCAGUGCAAUUACCAUUAUUUAUUAGACUCAUUGGUGAAGUAAUUUUAAAAAUAAACAUUGUCUAAGCCGAG